UACGGAGGUUGCGAGCGUCGUUCGGAAUGACUGGGCGUAAAGGGAGCGCAGCCGGUUCGAUUAGUCUGGAGUGAAAGCCCGGGGCUCAACCCCGGAGGGUCUCCGGAUACUGUCGAACUCGAGUACGGAAGAGGAGAGUGGAAUUCCAGGUGUAGCGGUGAAAUGCGUAGAUAUCAGGAGGAACACCGGUGGCGAAGGCGGAUCUCUGGGCCUUGCCUGACGCUGAGGCGCGAAAGCUAGGGGAGCGAACAGG
This 253-nucleotide ribosomal RNA is filed under the name uncultured bacterium. RNAcentral's name for it is "partial 16S ribosomal RNA". It matches the Rfam family "Bacterial small subunit ribosomal RNA", at positions 524 to 776 of the family's 1533-position model. The record is from RNAcentral.